CAUCCGAGCAGCUUCCUAAAGUAACAGUAGGGUUUUCUGGGGGAGAAGACGGAAAGGUACAUGUGGCAGUGAUAGCUGUGCGAGCAAAGGCACAGGGUGUGAGCGUGCAUGCAUGUGCGCGCGCGCAUGUGUAACGUCAGUGGAGAAGCACUUUGCGAAAUGGCCGGUGGCCAGUUACACCCAGAGCACAAGGUAGGGAGGAAGGAGUGAGAGGCUCAUGCCUCAACCUCACUGCUGUGGAUCAGAUUGUACCCCCCUGAAAGACACUCUGGUACCUGGAGAUGUGACCUUUUUUGGAAAUAAAGUCUUCACAGAUGGAAUCAAGUUAAGAUGAAGUUAUAUUGGAUUGGAUGAGCUCUAAAUCCAAUGGCUGGUGUCCUUUCAGAAGGUCAUGUGAAGACACAGGGACACGGAGACACAGGAGAAUGUCACGUGAAGACAGAGGCAGAAAUUGGAGUGAUGCAUUCAGAAGCUAAGGAAUCCCAAGGAUUUCUGGCAACCACCAGAAGCUAGGAGAGAGGCAUGGAACAGAUUUUCUCUCAGAGCCUCCAGAAGGAAUCGACCCUGCCACACCUUGAUUUCGUACUUCUCACUUUCAGAACUGUGAGAUUUACUGUUGUUGGACGCCCCCCAAUUCAUUAUACUUUGUUAGACAACACUAGGAAACUAAUGUAUCUUCUCUUGACUUUACUUGGCCCCUUUGAGUCCUGAGCCUCUCAGGAGCUUCUUCUGAAAGACAGAUCAGCUCACUUCUGUCUGCAGACAUUCUGGGAUGUUACUGCCUUUCCAGCUUUCGAUAUUUGAAGAGAUCUUAUUUCCUCUCACAUUCUGUUGUCCUUGGGAAUUUCUUUUUUUUAAGAAGUACAACUUCAUUAUUUCUAAUCCCACUUAGUAGUACCAAAUAAGUCAAUAAAAUAUUGAACAAAGGUGCUCAUUUCAGAAUUAUCUCUUUUAGCAAAAAGAAAAAAAUUAGGUAAUGACUGAAUAAAUUAUGACAAGUCAA
Molecule: long non-coding RNA, 1003 nt
Organism: Panthera uncia (snow leopard)
Lineage: Eukaryota; Metazoa; Chordata; Mammalia; Carnivora; Felidae
Exons: 2
Source: RefSeq, a predicted model, not a curated record